This 461-nucleotide ribosomal RNA is filed under the name uncultured Pseudomonadota bacterium. Its description in RNAcentral is "bacterial SSU rRNA". It matches the Rfam family "Bacterial small subunit ribosomal RNA", at positions 355 to 808 of the family's 1533-position model. Lineage: Bacteria; Pseudomonadati; Pseudomonadota. The record is from RNAcentral.
UGGGGAAUUUUGGACAAUGGGCGCAAGCCUGAUCCAGCAAUGCCGCGUGCAGGAAGAAGGCCUUCGGGUUGUAAACUGCUUUUGUACGGAACGAAACGGUCUGGGUUAAUACCCUGGGCUAAUGACGGUACCGUAAGAAUAAGCACCGGCUAACUACGUGCCAGCAGCCGCGGUAAUACGUAGGGUGCAAGCGUUAAUCGGAAUUACUGGGCGUAAAGCGUGCGCAGGCGGUUUUGUAAGACAGUCGUGAAAUCCCCGGGCUCAACCUGGGAAUUGCGAUUGUGACUGCAAAGCUGGAGUGCGGCAGAGGGGGAUGGAAUUCCGCGUGUAGCAGUGAAAUGCGUAGAUAUGCGGAGGAACACCGAUGGCGAAGGCAAUCCCCUGGGCCUGCACUGACGCUCAUGCACGAAAGCGUGGGGAGCAAACAGGAUUAGAUACCCUGGUAGUCCACGCCCUAAACG